GUGGGGAGUGGGAGAACGUGGGGCUUGUGUGCUAGGCUAGGGUGAGGGACUGCGGCAUGGAAGGGUUACAGAAUGUUACAGAAUGUGCUAAGGGGAGGAAAUGGGACAUGAGAAAUUGAAUGUGCUGGGAGGGGGGACUGACAUAUGGAGGAUUGUGUCAGGGUUAGGAACCAUGGAAGAAAAAUUGCUAGAUUGU
Molecule: long non-coding RNA, 196 nt
Organism: Myotis davidii
Lineage: Eukaryota; Metazoa; Chordata; Mammalia; Chiroptera; Vespertilionidae
Exons: 3
Source: RefSeq, a predicted model, not a curated record